Molecule: ribosomal RNA, 448 nt
Filed under: uncultured ammonia-oxidizing beta proteobacterium
Lineage: Bacteria; Pseudomonadati; Pseudomonadota; Betaproteobacteria
Description: bacterial SSU rRNA
Rfam family: Bacterial small subunit ribosomal RNA
Source: RNAcentral
UUUGGAGGAAAAGGCAGGGGAUCGCAAGACCUUGCGCUUUUGGAGCGGCCGAUGUCUGAUUAGCUAGUUGGUGAGGUAAAGGCUUACCAAGGCUUCGAUCAGUAGCUGGUCUGAGAGGACGACCAGCCACACUGGGACUGAGACACGGCCCAGACUCCUACGGGAGGCAGCAGUGGGGAAUUUUGGACAAUGGGGGAAACCCUGAUCCAGCCAUGCCGCGUGAGUGAAGAAGGCCUUCGGGUUGUAAAGCUCUUUCAGCCGGAACGAAAAGGUCACGGUUAAUACCCGUGACUAAUGACGGUACCGGAAGAAGAAGCACCGGCUAACUACGUGCCAGCAGCCGCGGUAAUACGUAGGGUGCGAGCGUUAAUCGGAAUUACUGGGCGUAAAGCGUGCGCAGGCGGUUUUGUAUAGUCAGAUGGAAGCACGCAUAAACCUUCAAAGAGGA